CCGGCGAUGUCCGAAUGGGGAAACCCAGUGCAAUUCGUUGCACUAUCGUUAACUGAAUACAUAGGUUAACGAGGCGAACCGGGGGAACUGAAACAUCUAAGUACCCCGAGGAAAAGAAAUCAACCGAGAUUCCCCCAGUAGCGGCGAGCGAACGGGGAGCAGCCCAGAGUCUGAAUCAGCUUGUGUGUUAGUGGAACGGUCUGGAAAGUCCGACGGUACAGGGUGAUAGUCCCGUACACCAAAAUGCACAGGUUGUGAACUCGAAGAGUAGGGCGGGACACGUGGUAUCCUGUCUGAAUAUGGGGGGACCAUCCUCCAAGGCUAAAUACUCCUGACUGACCGAUAGUGAACCAGUACCGUGAGGGAAAGGCGAAAAGAACCCCGGCGAGGGGAGUGAAAAAGAACCUGAAACCGUGUACGUACAAGCAGUGGGAGCACCUUCGGGUGUGACUGCGUACCUUUUGUAUAAUGGGUCAGCGACUUAUAUUCUGUAGCAAGGUUAACCGUAUAGGGGAGCCGCAGGGAAACCGAGUCUUAACUGGGCGUUAAGUUGCAGGGUAUAGACCCGAAACCCGGUGAUCUAGCCAUGGGCAGGUUGAAGGUUGGGUAACACUAACUGGAGGACCGAACCGACUAAUGUUGAAAAAUUAGCGGAUGACUUGUGGCUGGGGGUGAAAGGCCAAUCAAACCGGGAGAUAGCUGGUUCUCCCCGAAAGCUAUUUAGGUAGCGCCUCGUGAACUCAUCUUCGGGGGUAGAGCACUGUUUCGGCUAGGGGGUCAUCCCGACUUACCAACCCGAUGCAAACUACGAAUACCGAAGAAUGUUAUCACGGGAGACACACGGCGGGUGCUAACGUCCGUCGUGAAGAGGGAAACAACCCAGACCGCCAGCUAAGGUCCCAAAGUCAUGGUUAAGUGGGAAACGAUGUGGGAAGGCACAGACAGCCAGGAUGUUGGCUUAGAAGCAGCCAUCAUUUAAAGAAAGCGUAAUAGCUCACUGGUCGAGUCGGCCUGCGCGGAAGAUGUAACGGGGCUAAACCAUGCACCGAAGCUGCGGCAGCGACACUAUGUGUUGUUGGGUAGGGGAGCGUUCUGUAAGCCUGCGAAGGUGACCUGUGAGGGUUGCUGGAGGUAUCAGAAGUGCGAAUGCUGACAUAAGUAACGAUAAAGCGGGUGAAAAGCCCGCUCGCCGGAAGACCAAGGGUUCCUGUCCAACGUUAAUCGGGGCAGGGUGAGUCGACCCCUAAGGCGAGGCCGAAAGGCGUAGUCGAUGGGAAACAGGUUAAUAUUCCUGUACUUGGUGUUACUGCGAAGGGGGGACGGAGAAGGCUAUGUUAGCCGGGCGACGGUUGUCCCGGUUUAAGCAUGUAGGCUGGUUAUCCAGGCAAAUCCGGAUAAUCAAGGCUGAGGUGUGAUGACGAGGCACUACGGUGCUGAAGUAACAAAUGCCCUGCUUCCAGGAAAAGCCUCUAAGCAUCAGGUAACAUUAAAUCGUACCCCAAACCGACACAGGUGGUCAGGUAGAGAAUACCAAGGCGCUUGAGAGAACUCGGGUGAAGGAACUAGGCAAAAUGGUGCCGUAACUUCGGGAGAAGGCACGCUGGUGUGUAGGUGAAGUCCCUGCGGAUGGAGCUGAGACCAGUCGAAGAUACCAGCUGGCUGCAACUGUUUAUUAAAAACACAGCACUGUGCAAACACGAAAGUGGACGUAUACGGUGUGACGCCUGCCCGGUGCCGGAAGGUUAAUUGAUGGGGUUAUCCGUAAGGAGAAGCUCUUGAUCGAAGCCCCGGUAAACGGCGGCCGUAACUAUAACGGUCCUAAGGUAGCGAAAUUCCUUGUCGGGUAAGUUCCGACCUGCACGAAUGGCGUAAUGAUGGCCAGGCUGUCUCCACCCGAGACUCAGUGAAAUUGAACUCGCUGUGAAGAUGCAGUGUACCCGCGGCAAGACGGAAAGACCCCGUGAACCUUUACUAUAGCUUGACACUGAACAUUGAGCCUUGAUGUGUAGGAUAGGUGGGAGGCUUUGAAGCGUGGACGCCAGUCUGCGUGGAGCCAACCUUGAAAUACCACCCUUUAAUGUUUGAUGUUCUAACGUUGGCCCCUUACCGGGGUUGCGGACAGUGUCUGGUGGGUAGUUUGACUGGGGCGGUCUCCUCCCAAAGCGUAACGGAGGAGCACGAAGGUUAGCUAAUCCUGGUCGGACAUCAGGAGGUUAGUGCAAUGGCAUAAGCUAGCUUGACUGCGAGCGUGACGGCGCGAGCAGGUGCGAAAGCAGGUCAUAGUGAUCCGGUGGUUCUGAAUGGAAGGGCCAUCGCUCAACGGAUAAAAGGUACUCCGGGGAUAACAGGCUGAUACCGCCCAAGAGUUCAUAUCGACGGCGGUGUUUGGCACCUCGAUGUCGGCUCAUCACAUCCUGGGGCUGAAGUAGGUCCCAAGGGUAUGGCUGUUCGCCAUUUAAAGUGGUACGCGAGCUGGGUUUAGAACGUCGUGAGACAGUUCGGUCCCUAUCUGCCGUGGGCGCUGGAGAAUUGAGGGGGGCUGCUCCUAGUACGAGAGGACCGGAGUGGACGCAUCACUGGUGUUCGGGUUGUCAUGCCAAUGGCACUGCCCGGUAGCUAAAUGCGGAAGAGAUAAGUGCUGAAAGCAUCUAAGCACGAAACUUGCCCCGAGAUGAGUUCUCCCUGAGACUUUAAGUCUCCUGAAGGAACGUUAAAGACGAUGACGUUGAUAGGCCGGGUGUGUAAGCGCAGCGAUGCGUUGAGCUAACCGGUACUAAUGAACCGUGAGGCUUAACCUUACAACGCCGAAG
RNAcentral lists this ribosomal RNA (2810 nucleotides) under Klebsiella pneumoniae. RNAcentral describes it as "bacterial LSU rRNA". It matches the Rfam family "Bacterial large subunit ribosomal RNA". Lineage: Bacteria; Pseudomonadati; Pseudomonadota; Gammaproteobacteria; Enterobacterales; Enterobacteriaceae. The record is from RNAcentral.